AUUGAACGCUGGCGGCAUGCCUUACACAUGCAAGUCGAACGGUAACGGGCCUUCGGGUGCCGACGAGUGGCGAACGGGUGAGUAAUGCAUCGGAACGUACCCAUCAGUGGGGGAUAACUCUCCGAAAGGAGGGCUAAUACCGCAUAUUCUGUGCGCAGGAAAGCGGGGGACCGCAAGGCCUCGCGCUGAUGGAGCGGCCGAUGUCAGACUAGCUAGUUGGUGGGGUAAAGGCCUACCAAGGCGACGAUCUGUAGCGGGUCUGAGAGGAUGAUCCGCCACACUGGGACUGAGACACGGCCCAGACUCCUACAGGAGGCAGCAGUGGGGAAUUUUGGACAAUGGGGGCAACCCUGAUCCAGCCAUGCCGCGUGAGUGAAGAAGGCCUUCGGGUUGUAAAGCUCUUUCGGCCGGGAAGAAAUCGCAUCUCCUAAUACGGGGUGUGGAUGACGGUACCGGAAUAAGAAGCACCGGCUAACUACGUGCCAGCCGCCGCCGUAA
This 498-nucleotide ribosomal RNA is filed under the name uncultured bacterium. RNAcentral describes it as "partial 16S ribosomal RNA". It matches the Rfam family "Bacterial small subunit ribosomal RNA", at positions 29 to 523 of the family's 1533-position model. The record is from RNAcentral.